CACCGUGGACAGGCUUGGGGUGCCUGGACUUACCACUCUACAAUCGUGUUGUGUGUUGACUACAAUUAGCAAAGGCAAGAAGGUAAACUGCAGAAGCCAAACGGCAUAAUACACGGCAAAUCAUAGAACAAGUAUGGACAGGAUAUAAAUGGCUAUUCACGGGGUCUAAACAAUCUGAUACACAGUGGACAGCACACCAAGCAUCGACAGAGUUAACAGGACUAUUCUACUACAAAUCACAUGACAAAAAUAUGCUAUCCCUGUCAUAGAUCAACGACAGGUCCAAUUGCAUAAAUCUCGAACAAAUCUAGCGCAGGCAUGCUUUAGAGUCAACCAAGCAAACGGGGUCUACCUUGCUAGCCGGUGACGCCGUGGAACGGAGAUCACGGUAGUUGUUCACCACAUCGACGGAGAAGAGCUCCCUCCGUGCGCCUGAUGCCAUCGCGCGAGGAAAAGCUUGGGGUGCCUGGAUGCACAGAUCGACGAUACUGCAAGGAAACCAGCGAGACAACCUCAAGCACCAGCAAUGGCACGACGCACCAGCCAGUCAACCAAAACCACGAACAGAUCCCAAUCAGGAUGGAUCGAUCAGUAAACC
Molecule: long non-coding RNA, 598 nt
Filed under: Triticum aestivum (bread wheat)
Lineage: Eukaryota; Viridiplantae; Streptophyta; Magnoliopsida; Poales; Poaceae
Description: long non-coding RNA (TAES_LNC023189)
Source: RNAcentral